GGAUUGUAGCUCAGUGAUAGAGCACUUGCCUAGCAUGCAUGAGGCACUGGGUUCGAUCCCAGGCACCA
RNAcentral lists this transfer RNA (68 nucleotides) under Marmota monax (woodchuck). Its description in RNAcentral is "tRNA.Ala". The stretch from base 7 to 62 matches the Rfam family "tRNA", at positions 8 to 63 of the family's 71-position model. From Rfam's summary of the family: Transfer RNA (tRNA) molecules are approximately 80 nucleotides in length. Their secondary structure includes four short double-helical elements and three loops (D, anti-codon, and T loops). The record is from RNAcentral. Lineage: Eukaryota; Metazoa; Chordata; Mammalia; Rodentia; Sciuridae.